Non-coding RNA from Oenanthe melanoleuca, 441 nucleotides. The record is from the annotation of a RefSeq genome assembly. NCBI's taxonomy places the organism in Eukaryota, Metazoa, Chordata, Aves, Passeriformes, Muscicapidae.
AUGGCCUCGAGCUCCCUCCCGCUCCUCGCCCUCCUGGCCCUGCUGGCCCUGCCAGGGCUCCGGGCGGCCGUGACCCUGCUGGAGUCCGGGGGGGACCUCCAGCCCCCCGGGGGGUCCCUGACUCUGCUCUGCCGCGGGUCUGGGUUCAAUUUUGGGAAUUUCACUAUGUUCUGGAUCCGUCAGAGCCCCGGGAAGGGGCUGGAAUGGCUCGCAGGGAUCCAGAGCAGUGGUGGUUUCACCGAGUACGCGCCGUCAGUCAAGGGCCGGUUCAGGAUCUCCAGGGACAACGGGCAGAGCUCGGUGACGCUGACCAUGAACAACCUCAAGGACGAGGAUUCCGGUGUCUAUUUCUGUGCCAAACAUGGUGAUAGUGGUGGUUGGGCUUCGGCUGCUGACAGAAGUCCCAAAGGGGCAGUUCUGGCCCUAAAACGAGAUAUCUGA